Molecule: ribosomal RNA, 528 nt
Filed under: Cronobacter sakazakii
Lineage: Bacteria; Pseudomonadati; Pseudomonadota; Gammaproteobacteria; Enterobacterales; Enterobacteriaceae
Description: bacterial SSU rRNA
Rfam family: Bacterial small subunit ribosomal RNA
Source: RNAcentral
UGGAGAGUUUGAUCCUGGCUCAGAUUGAACGCUGGCGGCAGGCCUAACACAUGCAAGUCGAACGGUAACAGGAAGCAGCUUGCUGCUUCGCUGACGAGUGGCGGACGGGUGAGUAAUGUCUGGGAAACUGCCUGAUGGAGGGGGAUAACUACUGGAAACGGUAGCUAAUACCGCAUAACGUCGCAAGACCAAAGAGGGGGACCUUCGGGCCUCUUGCCAUCAGAUGUGCCCAGAUGGGAUUAGCUAGUAGGUGGGGUAACGGCUCACCUAGGCGACGAUCCCUAGCUGGUCUGAGAGGAUGACCAGCCACACUGGAACUGAGACACGGUCCAGACUCCUACGGGAGGCAGCAGUGGGGAAUAUUGCACAAUGGGCGCAAGCCUGAUGCAGCCAUGCCGCGUGUAUGAAGAAGGCCUUCGGGUUGUAAAGUACUUUCAGCGGGGAGGAAGGCGAUGUGGUUAAUAACCGCGUCGAUUGACGUUACCCGCAGAAGAAGCACCGGCUAACUCCGUGCCAGCAGCCGCGGUA